RNAcentral lists this ribosomal RNA (845 nucleotides) under uncultured bacterium. RNAcentral describes it as "bacterial SSU rRNA". It matches the Rfam family "Bacterial small subunit ribosomal RNA", at positions 96 to 953 of the family's 1533-position model. The record is from RNAcentral.
UGGCGAACGGGUGAGUAACACGUGGAAAAUCUACCUUCGAGCGGGGGAUAACUCCGGGAAACUGGGGCUAAUACCGCAUAACAUCACGGGGCGGCAUCGUCCUGUGAUCAACGACGCACGUCGCUUGAAGAUGAGUCCGCGUCCCAUCAGCUAGUUGGCGGGGUAACGGCCCACCAAGGCUUUGACGGGUAGCCGGCUUGAGAGAGCGAACGGCCACAAGGGGACUGAGACACGGCCCCUACUCCUACGGGAGGCAGCAGUAGGGAAUUUUGGUCAAUGGGGGAAACCCUGAACCAGCGACGCCGCGUGGGUGAUGAAGUCCUUCGGGAUGUAAAACCCUUUUUACCGGGACGAAAGGAAGAUGACGGUACCGGUAGAAUAAGCCACGGCUAACUCCGUGCCAGCAGCCGCGGUAAUACGGGGGUGGCGAGCGUUGUCCGGAAUCACUGGGUGUAAAGGGCGUGUAGGUGGGUCUAUAAGUCGGUCGUAAAAUAUCCCGGCUCAACCGGGAACCUGCGAUCGAUACUAUUGGUCUUGAGUGCGGCAGAGGAGAAUGGAAUUCCUGGUGUAGCGGUGACAUGCGUAGAUAUCGGGAGGAACACCCGUGGCGAAGGCGGUUCUCUGGGCCUGCACUGACACUGAGGCGCGAAAGCAAGGGGAGCAAACAGACUUAGAUACUCUGGUAGUCCUUGUCCUAAACGAUGGGUACUAGGUGUUCGGCCAUUUAUGGCUGAGUGCCGAAGCUAACGCAUUAAGUACCCCACCUGGGGAGUACGAUCGCAAGGUUGAAACUCAAAGGAAUUGACGGGGACCCGCACAAGCGGUGGAGGAUGUGGUUUAAUUCG